RNAcentral lists this ribosomal RNA (17 nucleotides) under Exophiala nagquensis. Its description in RNAcentral is "partial small subunit ribosomal RNA". The record is from RNAcentral. Lineage: Eukaryota; Fungi; Ascomycota; Eurotiomycetes; Chaetothyriales; Herpotrichiellaceae.
AAACCAUUUGUUGCUUC